Molecule: long non-coding RNA, 420 nt
Organism: Amphimedon queenslandica
Lineage: Eukaryota; Metazoa; Porifera; Demospongiae; Haplosclerida; Niphatidae
Exons: 4
Source: RefSeq, a predicted model, not a curated record
AAUAUCAGGUGAUGAGUGAUGGAGGUAAAUGUCCUCAUGACUGUCCGUUAAUUGACUGAUCACUUCCUGACAUUGACCUGCUGAUGGUUUUUCGAGGUAUACAUUACUACCAUACCAGGUCCACUUCACCUCUCCAGUCUCUUCUCCUAAUAAUAAACACAGUGAUGCUGGUUUUUGUACCAGUAAGUCAUUACAGCUGGUAGGAUGGAAUGGGUGUGGUCUAUCUUUUAUCAUGUGACAGUAAACAAAAAUCAAUUUCCUUGGUCCAUUAUGCCAGCUAGUCAACUUCAAAGCACAAGCUAAUAGCAGAAGAUUCUAUAUGAUAACUUACAAUAAUACUGACUAUGAGUUUUGGUAAUUUUUAUUGUGUUUAUUUUUAAUAUUUUUAUAAAGUUUUAUUGUCAAACUCAAUCACUGGUA